Molecule: transfer RNA, 64 nt
Filed under: Lactobacillus xujianguonis
Lineage: Bacteria; Bacillati; Bacillota; Bacilli; Lactobacillales; Lactobacillaceae
Description: tRNA-OTHER
Rfam family: tRNA
About the family: Transfer RNA (tRNA) molecules are approximately 80 nucleotides in length.
Source: RNAcentral
GGUCCAUUGGAGCAGUGGUUUAUCUCGACGGAGGAGAUCGUGGGUUCAAAUCUCACAUGGACCG